GGAAGAAGUUUUCAGUCUCAUCUGAGGCAUUGAGCUGCCUGGCUGGAUUCCAACACCAAACUUUGUUUCCCCACCAGCCCAGGUUACACUUGCUGAAAACUGUAACUUUCUAUUUGGAAGCAGGAUAGAAUUUUUACCUGGGAGUGGGACUCUGCCAGCAAUUUUUGACGUGAGAACUGGACGUACCAAACACAUUGCAGGGAAUAAUGCUUCAUUAGUUCUACUACUAACAGGGAUAUUUCAGGUUUGUCCUAUUUAUCUUCUUUUCAACUUACUUAUGUGUUUUGGGGAAAGAUAAGCUUCUUAAAAUAUGCACUAGGCAUCUGGAGAAGGUGCGAGUUGGUGACUGUGAUGGGCCUUGUCCCUCAGGAGAAAUUCCCAUGUAGAGCUGGAGCUGCCCUAAGAAAGGUCUUUCUCCUGCAUCGCUGAGCUCUAAUGCUGGACCUGCUGCUUGAACCAUUAGAUUUAUACGCAAUUUUCCUGAAGAGCUCAAAGCAAAGUGGAGAUUGUAAUUUUAUAAGACAUACAUACAGUAAAAUCUUGCUACAAC
RNAcentral lists this long non-coding RNA (550 nucleotides) under Calidris pugnax (ruff). Its description in RNAcentral is "lncRNA (ENSCPUG00000016755.1)". The record is from RNAcentral. Lineage: Eukaryota; Metazoa; Chordata; Aves; Charadriiformes; Scolopacidae.